Long non-coding RNA from Oryza brachyantha (malo sina), 495 nucleotides. RefSeq lists it as uncharacterized. The transcript has 3 exons. Lineage: Eukaryota; Viridiplantae; Streptophyta; Magnoliopsida; Poales; Poaceae. The record is from RefSeq and is a predicted model, not a curated record.
CUGAAGUAGCCAAAAGUAGAAACAAAUUCACCGUCAACCAUCCAAGGCCCCGACGCCUUCGCCAGACAACGCUAGGGUUCGACGGCCGGCCGCCUCCGCCCACGCAGACGACGAUUCUUGCCACCCGCCGCUCCCAACUCACGGGUGGGCUUGUGAUGGAGAGAGAUGGAGGGUACUUCACAUGACUUACAGCAAGGAGCCCACGGACAUGAUUGACUUCAAUUGUUCUUCUUCAACUGCGGAUGCAGGGCGGAACCGGCCGACACUCUCUGAGUACAGGCACGCAGAAUUUCUACAAGUUCGUGCCAUGGAGCAUACAUAUCAUCCGAACGUGCAGCCCACACGUACGCACGCUACACACGGACGAGAAUAAAACGCAUUUAAACAUGCUACCCAUUGCAUUCAUCCAAGCAAAGCUAUUACUAGCAUUGUGUAGUAGCAAACCUGUGGACGUUAGUGUUUAGAUCCAGCGGAUGCGCAGUUAUUUUGGUUUCU